This 1550-nucleotide ribosomal RNA is filed under the name Klebsiella pneumoniae. RNAcentral's name for it is "bacterial SSU rRNA". It matches the Rfam family "Bacterial small subunit ribosomal RNA". The record is from RNAcentral. Lineage: Bacteria; Pseudomonadati; Pseudomonadota; Gammaproteobacteria; Enterobacterales; Enterobacteriaceae.
AAAUUGAAGAGUUUGAUCAUGGCUCAGAUUGAACGCUGGCGGCAGGCCUAACACAUGCAAGUCGAGCGGUAGCACAGAGAGCUUGCUCUCGGGUGACGAGCGGCGGACGGGUGAGUAAUGUCUGGGAAACUGCCUGAUGGAGGGGGAUAACUACUGGAAACGGUAGCUAAUACCGCAUAACGUCGCAAGACCAAAGUGGGGGACCUUCGGGCCUCAUGCCAUCAGAUGUGCCCAGAUGGGAUUAGCUAGUAGGUGGGGUAACGGCUCACCUAGGCGACGAUCCCUAGCUGGUCUGAGAGGAUGACCAGCCACACUGGAACUGAGACACGGUCCAGACUCCUACGGGAGGCAGCAGUGGGGAAUAUUGCACAAUGGGCGCAAGCCUGAUGCAGCCAUGCCGCGUGUGUGAAGAAGGCCUUCGGGUUGUAAAGCACUUUCAGCGGGGAGGAAGGCGGUAAGGUUAAUAACCUUGUCGAUUGACGUUACCCGCAGAAGAAGCACCGGCUAACUCCGUGCCAGCAGCCGCGGUAAUACGGAGGGUGCAAGCGUUAAUCGGAAUUACUGGGCGUAAAGCGCACGCAGGCGGUCUGUCAAGUCGGAUGUGAAAUCCCCGGGCUCAACCUGGGAACUGCAUUCGAAACUGGCAGGCUAGAGUCUUGUAGAGGGGGGUAGAAUUCCAGGUGUAGCGGUGAAAUGCGUAGAGAUCUGGAGGAAUACCGGUGGCGAAGGCGGCCCCCUGGACAAAGACUGACGCUCAGGUGCGAAAGCGUGGGGAGCAAACAGGAUUAGAUACCCUGGUAGUCCACGCCGUAAACGAUGUCGAUUUGGAGGUUGUGCCCUUGAGGCGUGGCUUCCGGAGCUAACGCGUUAAAUCGACCGCCUGGGGAGUACGGCCGCAAGGUUAAAACUCAAAUGAAUUGACGGGGGCCCGCACAAGCGGUGGAGCAUGUGGUUUAAUUCGAUGCAACGCGAAGAACCUUACCUGGUCUUGACAUCCACAGAACUUAGCAGAGAUGCUUUGGUGCCUUCGGGAACUGUGAGACAGGUGCUGCAUGGCUGUCGUCAGCUCGUGUUGUGAAAUGUUGGGUUAAGUCCCGCAACGAGCGCAACCCUUAUCCUUUGUUGCCAGCGGUUAGGCCGGGAACUCAAAGGAGACUGCCAGUGAUAAACUGGAGGAAGGUGGGGAUGACGUCAAGUCAUCAUGGCCCUUACGACCAGGGCUACACACGUGCUACAAUGGCAUAUACAAAGAGAAGCGACCUCGCGAGAGCAAGCGGACCUCAUAAAGUAUGUCGUAGUCCGGAUUGGAGUCUGCAACUCGACUCCAUGAAGUCGGAAUCGCUAGUAAUCGUAGAUCAGAAUGCUACGGUGAAUACGUUCCCGGGCCUUGUACACACCGCCCGUCACACCAUGGGAGUGGGUUGCAAAAGAAGUAGGUAGCUUAACCUUCGGGAGGGCGCUUACCACUUUGUGAUUCAUGACUGGGGUGAAGUCGUAACAAGGUAACCGUAGGGGAACCUGCGGUUGGAUCACCUCCUUACCUUAAAGAA